GGGGGCGAAAAGGGUUCGACGGGGGUAGGGAGGUAAGGAGUGCAUGCCGAGGUCCCACCCCUCGUAAAACAGUGGGGCAAAAAUAAGUGCCGACAAUUACGAGUACGCUUUGGCUGCCUAAUUGAAGCAGCCAACGUCCUUUGGGAUUCGCCCGCAGGUCCCAGCAGGGCGUCAGAGAUGCGGGCUGGGUCCCUGUCGGUGCCCAGAGGCAGGGACGACAAAUGAUGGGCUAGCCUCCAGAGGAUCCUGCCUGUGGGAGCCCUGGAGGGGAAGAUAAAACACAGGCUAAGCAUGUAGGGCUCCUUAGCGAACUACCCUCGGACGCGGGUUCGAUUCCCGCCGCCUCCACCA
Molecule: transfer-messenger RNA, 351 nt
Filed under: Deltaproteobacteria bacterium
Lineage: Bacteria; Pseudomonadati; Myxococcota; Myxococcia
Rfam family: transfer-messenger RNA
About the family: Bacterial tmRNA, also known as 10Sa RNA or SsrA, is named for its dual tRNA and mRNA-like properties. Its role is to liberate the mRNA from a stalled ribosome.
Source: RNAcentral